This 497-nucleotide ribosomal RNA is filed under the name uncultured bacterium. RNAcentral's name for it is "partial 16S ribosomal RNA". It matches the Rfam family "Bacterial small subunit ribosomal RNA", at positions 28 to 507 of the family's 1533-position model. The record is from RNAcentral.
GAUGAACGCUGGCGGCGUGCCUAAUACAUGCAAGUCGAGCGAACAGACGAGGAGCUUGCUCCUUUGACGUUAGCGGCGGACGGGUGAGUAACACGUGGAUAACCUACCUAUAAGACUGGGAUAAUUUCGGGAAACCGGAGCUAAUACCGGAUAAUAUAUUGAACCGCAUGGUUCAAUAGUGAAAGACGGUUUUGCUGUCUCUUAUAGAUGGAUCCGCGCCGCAUUAGCUAGUUGGUAAGGUAACGGCUUACCAAGGCAACGAUGCGUAGCCGACCUGAGAGGGUGAUCGGCCACACGGGAACUGAGACACGGUCCAGACUCCUACGGGAGGCAGCAGUAGGGAAUCUUCCGCAAUGGGCGAAAGCCUGACGGAGCAACGCCGCGUGAGUGAUGAAGGUCUUCGGAUCGUAAAGCUCUGUUAUUAGGGAAGAACAGAUGUGUAAGUAACUAUGCACGUCUUGACGGUACCUAAUCAGAAAGCCACGGCUAACUACGUG